RNAcentral lists this ribosomal RNA (573 nucleotides) under uncultured bacterium. Its description in RNAcentral is "partial 16S ribosomal RNA". It matches the Rfam family "Bacterial small subunit ribosomal RNA", at positions 355 to 920 of the family's 1533-position model. The record is from RNAcentral.
UGGGGAAUUUUGGACAAUGGGGGAAACCCUGAUCCAGCCAUCCCGCGUGUGCGAUGAAGGCCUUCGGGUUGUAAAGCACUUUUGGCAGGAAAGAAACGUCGCGGGUUAAUACCCCGCGAAACUGACGGUACCUGUAGAAUAAGCACCGGCUAACUACGUGCCAGCAGCCGCGGUAAUACGUAGGGUGCAAGCGUUAAUCGGAAUUACUGGGCGUAAAGCGUGCGCAGGCGGUUCGGAAAGAAAGAUGUGAAAUCCCAGAGCUUAACUUUGGAACUGCAUUUUUAACUACCGGGCUAGAGUGUGUCAGAGGGAGGUGGAAUUCCGCGUGUAGCAGUGAAAUGCGUAGAUAUGCGGAGGAACACCGAUGGCGAAGGCAGCCUCCUGGGAUAACACUGACGCUCAUGCACGAAAGCGUGGGGAGCAAACAGGAUUAGAUACCCUGGUAGUCCACGCCCUAAACGAUGUCAACUAGCUGUUGGGGGCCUUCGGGCCUUGGUAGCGCAGCUAACGCGUGAAGUUGACCGCCUGGGGAGUACGGUCGCAAGAUUAAAACUCAAAUGAAUUGACGGGGUC